AAUGGGGGAAACCCUGAUCCAGCCAUGCCGCGUGAGUAAAGAAGGCCUUAGGGUUGUAAAACUCUUUCACCUGUGAAGAUGAUGACGGUAGCAGGAGAGGAAGCCCCGGCUAACUCCGUGCCAGCAGCCGCGGUAAUACGGAGGGGGCAAGCGUUGUUCGGAAUUACUGGGCGUAAAGGGCGCGUAGGCGGCUAUAAUAGUCAGGCGUGAAAGCCCCGGGCUUAACCUGGGUACUGCGUUUGAUACUGUAUAGCUAGAGAUUGGAAGAGGAGAGUGGAAUUCCAAGUGUAGAGGUGAAAUUCGUAGAUAUUUGGAAGAACACCAGUGGCGAAGGCGGCUCUCUGGUCCACAUCUGACGCUGAGGCGCGAAAGCGUGGGGAGCAAACAGGAUU
RNAcentral lists this ribosomal RNA (392 nucleotides) under uncultured Gammaproteobacteria bacterium. RNAcentral's name for it is "bacterial SSU rRNA". It matches the Rfam family "Bacterial small subunit ribosomal RNA", at positions 370 to 779 of the family's 1533-position model. The record is from RNAcentral. Lineage: Bacteria; Pseudomonadati; Pseudomonadota; Gammaproteobacteria.